Molecule: ribosomal RNA, 301 nt
Filed under: uncultured bacterium
Lineage: Bacteria
Description: partial 16S ribosomal RNA
Rfam family: Bacterial small subunit ribosomal RNA
Source: RNAcentral
CAGCCGCCACGGGAAUAGGAAGGGGGCUAGCGUUGCUCGGAAUCACUGGGCGUAAAGGGUGCGUAGGCGGGUCUUUAAGUCAGGGGUGAAAUCCUGGAGCUCAACUCCAGAACUGCCUUUGAUACUGAAGAUCUUGAGUUCGGGAGAGGUGAGUGGAACUGCGAGUGUAGAGGUGAAAUUCGUAGAUAUUCGCAAGAACACCAGUGGCGAAGGCGGCUCACUGGCCCGAUACUGACGCUGAGGCACGAAAGCGUGGGGAGCAAACAGGAUUAGAUACCCGCGUAGUCCCUGUCUCUUAUAC